This 195-nucleotide ribosomal RNA is filed under the name uncultured bacterium. Its description in RNAcentral is "partial 16S ribosomal RNA". It matches the Rfam family "Bacterial small subunit ribosomal RNA", at positions 328 to 539 of the family's 1533-position model. The record is from RNAcentral.
ACGCUCGACACCUACGGGAGUCAGCAGUGGGGAAUAUUGCACAAUGGGGGAAACCCUGAUGCAGCGACGCCGCGUGGAGGAAGAAGGUCUUCGGAUUGUAAACUCCUGUUGUUGGGAAAAGAGGAUGGUACCCAACAAGGAAGUGACGGCUAACUACGUCGCACAGCCGCGGUAAUCUGAGCGGGCUGGCAAGGC